This is a long non-coding RNA of Alligator mississippiensis (American alligator), 2490 nucleotides long. RefSeq lists it as uncharacterized. The transcript is spliced from 4 exons. The record is from RefSeq and is a predicted model, not a curated record. Lineage: Eukaryota; Metazoa; Chordata; Crocodylia; Alligatoridae.
CUCUGGCAAGUGGCCAGGGGAAGAGAGCUCCAGCAUGGCAGAACUACCCAAGAAAGCUGUGGCUAAUGAGGCUUUAGGAGUCUAUAAGACUGGGGAGAAAUAUUCUUCUGCAGAGAAAACAAGUGCUAGACUAACCAUUUGAAGUGUGGUUGCAUUAGCUCCCCAUGUCGUUCCAGCCAGUUUAUUCACAAGUGGGACCCUGAGAAGGAGCAGAGCAGAAGGUAUCUGAAGAAUAAUUUCAGGAAAAAAAUACCUCAGCAGAGGAGUAAAAACAUGAUGUCCACGUCAUCUCCUAACCAUUGUCAGAGUGCAUGACUCCCUACCACCUGUGUCUCCGUUAGAUCUGAGCUUGGCUGUGGACCACAAACUAUUGCUCAAUAGGUGUUAAUGAAUGUAAUUAUAUCACAAAUAACCAAUUAAAGUAUAAUGAAACAUGGCUCAGUCAGUCAAUCCUGUGUUAACAAUGCAAUAUGCACAAGGAUUAACUUAGCCCUUAUAACUAAAAUAAAAAGAGGACAAGCCCAAUGCCAUUUUCGAGUCACAAAAUCUAAACUGCAUUGUGCUAUAUGCCCAAACUUGUGUUAAUGCAGCUAUGAAACUGCUAUUCUGUCUCUAUUACAUUGGUGCCUAGAAAACACAACUCCAAUAGGUAGGGUGACCAUACAUCCUUGUUUGGUCUGGACCCUCCCAGAUUCUGCAUGCUGGAGUCUGGUAGAGAGGCUGCUGGGCAGGCACCAUUGAUGUGUGGAAGCAACAUGUGGUGUAGUACAUGUGCAGGGUGGCCAUGGCCCUGUCCAUGGUGAGCAAGUGGGACAGCUCUUCUUAGAAGGGCACAGCGUGCCUCCUACUCCUGGAUUGUUUAUUGGCAUCAGGCAUACACUUGUACUGGAUCUUCAUUCAUUGCAUCUUGGACCAGCACUACACUCAGUCCCUGUCAUGGACUUGCACUUGCAUAUGUUAGGCAAUGCACUUGACCAUAUUCCUGUUGCAGUGCUCUUUGCAGAGCUGGUCUUGGGCCUCCCGCUCACCCCAGAUGGUGACUAGUUCUUUCAUCUCCCUGUGGCUCCAGUUGUGUGACCAGGGUUGGGUACUGGAGGAGCACAGGACAGGUUCUUCCAUGGUCCACAAAAGUGACUGUUGGGUCCCGGUGUCUGCAGUGGGUGAGGGUCUGGCUGCAGGAGGGAGGAAGGAUGGAAGUAGCGGUAGAUGCACACAGGUGUGGGACCUGGCCCAUGACUAACCCUAUCCCUCCAGCUGGUGUGGGCCAUGCUCAAGAGUAACUGGGGCUCCACUAGCCAGGCCACCACAUAACCUCAAGCUUUCCAGGGGCUUUCAGCAAACACCCCCAUGAUGCUGGCAAUGCCCCAUUCCCCAGUGUAGAAAUUUCCAAUGUCCUCUACCUGCAACGCUUAAGAGAGCUUGUUAUGCCUUACCUGCUCCUUAAGUUUCUAAGGGCAUCUGUCUGCUUGGUGCUCACUGCUCCACACACUGUCCCCAUCCCUAUUACUCCAGGACCAUGUAGUUGUGGGCCAAAAAAUCCUUCAAGCAUGUCAAGUGCACAUGCCUGGGUACCUGUUAACAAUGGCCAAGACUUGGACAUCACAAGGUCUUGUCCAUGCAGGCUUAAUGCUGAUGUUUUGCCUCUUGCCAACCUGACCAACAAGAGGUAAGCCACCUGCACUGGCUCCUGCCAAUGGGGAGGUGUUUAUGUUGGGGUCCAGGUGGCAGUGUGCCUGUCUAUGGUCUCUGAGAUGUGGUGUGAACAUACCAGAGUUAGGGUCUGUGGAUCUGGGGCUUAACACAGGGGUUAUCUUGGACUGUGCUGGGGUCUGCAUGUAUGUUGUAGGGUGCUUCAUGAUGGGGUGUUGAGGCUGCUAGCUCAUGGCCCAGGGACUCAAGUGCCCAGGUCCUGGGGCUCAUGCAAGGGACACCUGCUGCCUGCCUGUGGCUGGCUGGUGGCUGGAGGUGAGAAUGGGGAAAGGGGCUUUGCUUGCUCAGUGUUGAGAGCCUGGAUUUAGGACCUGCUUGGUGUUUUUGUGUAGCAGCUAAGUGCAGGCCAAGUGCUAGUGUAUCUCCUUUCAAGAGAUGGGUAGGAGGGCCAAAAAGCAGUUUGGGAUGCCAGAGGUUGGUAAUCUAACUCAAAUCAUUAGGUCAGCAAUGGAACAGAUCAAAGCUGCCUCCCUAAUACUUAAAAUGUUUCAUUUAUUCCCAAUGAUUCUUAGGUCAUUCCUUUCAAUAUAAUUGUAAAUAAUUUUAAAGGACCAUGUUACCAAUUUAACUGACUUUUGAAGAAUAAGGGCUCAAUAUGAAAUACUCCUGUUCACUGUGAUUUUUGUAGUUUUGAUGCAUUAUGCAGCAUAAAAGUGGAGCUGUUUGAUUGAUAUCUGUGUUAUUCAAUAUGCAUAUUUAUAUGCUAGACUGGCUCUAAGAGGAAUAAAGUUUCUGUUGUUUUAACUGAAUAACUGCUGUUCAAUACAUGUCAUUUUUUUC